GGUAGCUAUAGAUCAUAGUAGUUUGUUCCUGCGCUCUGUAUUAUAAGCUUGCUUCUAUGACGUUAGCGGCGGACGGGUGAGUAACACGUGGGCAACCUGCCUGUAAGACUGGGAUAACUUCGGGAAACCGAAGCUAAUACCGGAUAGGAUCUUCUCCUUCAUGGGAGAUGAUUGAAAGAUGGUUUCGGCUAUCACUUACAGAUGGGCCCGCGGUGCAUUAGCUAGUUGGUGAGGUAACGGCUCACCAAGGCAACGAUGCAUAGCCGACCUGAGAGGGUGAUCGGCCACACUGGGACUGAGACACGGCCCAGACUCCUACGGGAGGCAGCAGUAGGGAAUCUUCCGCAAUGGACGAAAGUCUGACGGAGCAACGCCGCGUGAGUGAUGAAGGCUUUCGGGUCGUAAAACUCUGUUGUUAGGGAAGAACAAGUACGAGAGUAACUGCUCGUACCUUGACGGUACCUAACCAGAAAGCCACGGCUAACUACGUGCCAGCAGCCGCGGUAAUACGUAGGUGGCAAGCGUUAUCCGGAAUUAUUGGGCGUAAAGCGCGCGCAGGCGGUUUCUUAAGUCUGAUGUGAAAAGCCCACGGCUCACCGUGGAGGGUCAUUGGAAAACUGGGGAACUUUGAGUGCA
This 636-nucleotide ribosomal RNA is filed under the name Priestia megaterium. RNAcentral describes it as "bacterial SSU rRNA". It matches the Rfam family "Bacterial small subunit ribosomal RNA", at positions 68 to 651 of the family's 1533-position model. Lineage: Bacteria; Bacillati; Bacillota; Bacilli; Caryophanales; Bacillaceae. The record is from RNAcentral.